RNAcentral lists this ribosomal RNA (459 nucleotides) under uncultured bacterium. RNAcentral's name for it is "bacterial SSU rRNA". It matches the Rfam family "Bacterial small subunit ribosomal RNA", at positions 923 to 1379 of the family's 1533-position model. The record is from RNAcentral.
GCACAAGCGGUGGAGCAUGUGGUUUAAUUCGACGCAACGCGCAGAACCUUACCAGCCCUUGACAUCCCGGUCGCGGACUCCAGGGACGGAGUUCUUCAGUUCGGCUGGACCGGAGACAGGUGCUGCAUGGCUGUCGUCAGCUCGUGUCGUGAGAUGUUGGGUUAAGUCCCGCAACGAGCGCAACCCCCGUCCUUAGUUGCUACCAUUUAGUUGAGCACUCUAAGGAGACUGCCGGUGAUAAGCCGCGAGGAAGGUGGGGAUGACGUCAAGUCCUCAUGGCCCUUACGGGCUGGGCUACACACGUGCUACAAUGGCGGUGACAAUGGGACGCUAAGGGGCAACCCUUCGCAAAUCUCAAAAAGCCGUCUCAGUUCGGAUUGGGCUCUGCAACUCGAGCCCAUGAAGUUGGAAUCGCUAGUAAUCGUGGAUCAGCAUGCCACGGUGAAUACGUUCCCGGGC